This 507-nucleotide ribosomal RNA is filed under the name uncultured bacterium. RNAcentral's name for it is "bacterial SSU rRNA". It matches the Rfam family "Bacterial small subunit ribosomal RNA", at positions 29 to 513 of the family's 1533-position model. The record is from RNAcentral.
AACGAACGCUGGCGGCGCGUCUUAAACAUGCAAGUCGAACGAGAAGCUCUGUGCUUGCACGGAGUGGAAAGUGGCGAACGGGUGAGUAACACGUGGAUAAUCUGCCUCUGGAUUGGGGACAACCAUCCGAAAGGAUGGCUAAUACCGAAUGAGAUGGUCUUUACAUAAGUAGAGAUUAUGAAAGGUGGGGACCUUCGGGCCUACCGUCUGGAGAUGAGUCCGCGGCCCAUUAGCUUGUUGGUGGGGUAAAGGCCUACCAAGGCAACGAUGGGUAGCCGGCCUGAGAGGGUGAACGGCCACAUUGGGACUGAGAUACGGCCCAGACUCCUACGGGAGGCAGCAGUUAAGAAUCUUGCACAAUGGGGGAAACCCUGAUGCAGCGACGCCGCGUGGAUGAUGAAGGCCUUCGGGUUGUAAAGUCCAGUAAGCAGGGAAGAAUAAGCGAAAGGUAAUAUUUUUUCGUGAUGACGGUACCUGCCUAAAGCCCCGGCUAACUACGUGCCAGCG